GAUGAACGCUGGCGGCGUGCCUAAUACAUGCAAGUCGAGCGAACGGACGAGAAGCUUGCUUCUCUGAUGUUAGCGGCGGACGGGUGAGUAACACGUGGAUAACCUACCUAUAAGACUGGGAUAACUUCGGGAAACCGGAGCUAAUACCGGAUGAUAUUUUGAACCGCAUGGUUCAAAAGUGAAAGACGGUCUUGCUGUCACUUAUAGAUGGAUCCGCGCUGCAUUAGCUAGUUGGUAAGAUAACGGCUUACCAAGGCAACGAUGCAUAGCCGACCUGAGAGGGUGAUCGGCCACACUGGAACUGAGACACGGUCCAGACUCCUACGGGAGGCAGCAGUAGGGAAUCUUCCGCAAUGGGCGAAAGCCUGACGGAGCAACGCCGCGUGAGUGAUGAAGGUCUUCGGAUCGUAAAACUCUGUUAUUAGGGAAGAACAUAUGUGUAAGUAACUGUGCACAUCUUGACGGUACCUAAUCAGAAAGCCACGGCUAACUACGUG
RNAcentral lists this ribosomal RNA (497 nucleotides) under uncultured bacterium. RNAcentral describes it as "partial 16S ribosomal RNA". It matches the Rfam family "Bacterial small subunit ribosomal RNA", at positions 28 to 507 of the family's 1533-position model. The record is from RNAcentral.